AUGAAGAGAAUGCCCACAACAGUUUUCUUCUGUGUUCUAGACAUUUUACUAAACCUAUUUGCUAUUCUGGAAGCUGUGCAUAUCCUUGGUCUGUACUUGGCUCAGCAGCCAGAGGGCUCCUCGGCCCCACCAUAUAACCCAGGAGGACCCAGUGCCCCCAUCUCUUGGAGGCUCUGUGUCAUUUCUAAAGCUGGCAUGACUGUUUCAUUUCAGACUGCCUCAUGCUCCCUCCCCGGCCUGAGAGAGAGACCUGGUAGGCUUAUCCUACAGGAGCGUUUACGUUCUCAGUACAUGCAGAAGAUAGCAGACCUACUCUCUUGGCAAGAAUGGAUUCAUACUUUCCACUGCUGCCUGCGCCAGCCGGUUUCCAUAUCAGCCAGAGCCUCAGGAAGAUGGAAGGACAGUCAUUCUUUCCAUUCGUGCUGACCCCGCUCGCUAUCAGGCCUGAGUGCCAGCACGUUUAGCUCGAGGAGGCUGCCAAGUGCUGACCAGGCUGCGCAGGCCGGCUUCCGUUUCCAGCACACGUGAGGGUAGAUAAGAUGACUCUGGGCAUUCUCACGCUGGACUCACCUUACCUGGGAAAGCAAGACGGACAGGCCGCCUCCUCCCUGCUUGGGAGGCUGUGGCCAAUUCACUUGUAUUUUGAGCCACUGAAGUAAGUGCAGGGCCAAGCCUUUGGGUCUGAAAUUAAUGCAGUGUGGCAUCUCCCCCGACCCUGUUCCCUGAUGCCUGCUAUGAACUGUAAAGAAUACGAUUGAUAGCAAAUCCUGUGUGAAUUCUCUGGGAGAGANNNNNNNNNNNNNNNNNNNNNNNNNNNGGGGGGGGGGGGUGG
Molecule: long non-coding RNA, 832 nt
Filed under: Vulpes vulpes (red fox)
Lineage: Eukaryota; Metazoa; Chordata; Mammalia; Carnivora; Canidae
Description: lncRNA (ENSVVUG00000019991.1)
Source: RNAcentral